UACAGAGGAUGCAAGCGUUAUCCGGAAUGAUUGGGCGUAAAGCGUCUGUAGGUGGCUUUUUAAGUCCGCCGUCAAAUCCCAGGGCUCAACUCUGGACAGGCGGUGGAAACUACCAAGCUGGAGUACGGUAGGGGCAGAGGGAAUUUCCGGUGGAGCGGUGAAAUGCGUAGAGAUCGGGAGGAACACCUGUGGCGAAAGCGGCUCACUGGACCAUUACUGACGCUGAGGCACGAAAGCUAGGGGAGCAAACAGG
This 253-nucleotide ribosomal RNA is filed under the name uncultured bacterium. RNAcentral describes it as "partial 16S ribosomal RNA". It matches the Rfam family "Bacterial small subunit ribosomal RNA", at positions 524 to 776 of the family's 1533-position model. The record is from RNAcentral.